RNAcentral lists this non-coding RNA (53 nucleotides) under Synechococcus phage 27A. RNAcentral's name for it is "Synechococcus phage Glutamine-II sequence". It matches the Rfam family "Glutamine-II riboswitch aptamer". From Rfam's summary of the family: The major groove of the PK provides the binding site for L-glutamine RNAcentral also lists the same sequence under 1 other name. The record is from RNAcentral.
GUACGUUCAACCUUCGGGUCGCAUGUUACCUAGUCAUGGAACGGGGGCUAGGU